RNAcentral lists this ribosomal RNA (253 nucleotides) under uncultured bacterium. RNAcentral describes it as "partial 16S ribosomal RNA". It matches the Rfam family "Bacterial small subunit ribosomal RNA", at positions 524 to 776 of the family's 1533-position model. The record is from RNAcentral.
UACGUAGGCAGCGAGCGUUGUUCGGAGUUACUGGGCGUAAAGAGUGCGUAGGCGGUUUUCUAAGUCUGGCGUGAAAGCUCUCGGCUAAACCGGGAGAGGUCGUUGGAUACUGGCUGACUAGAGGACGGUAGAGGCGUGUGGAAUUCCGGGUGUAGUGGUGAAAUGCGUAGAGAUCCGGAGGAACACCAGUGGCGAAGGCGACACGCUGGGCCGUACCUGACGCUAAAGCGCGACAGCAUGGGGAGCAAACGGG